This 488-nucleotide ribosomal RNA is filed under the name uncultured bacterium. Its description in RNAcentral is "bacterial SSU rRNA". It matches the Rfam family "Bacterial small subunit ribosomal RNA", at positions 32 to 507 of the family's 1533-position model. The record is from RNAcentral.
AACGCUGGCGGCAUGCUUUACACAUGCAAGUCGAACGGCAGCGGGGAGUAGCUUGCUACUCUGCCGGCGAGUGGCGGACGGGUGAGUAAUGCCUGGGGAGCUGCCCAAUCGAGGGGGAUACCAGUUGGAAACGACUGCUAAUACCGCAUACGCCCUGAGGGGGGAAAGGUGGGGGAUCUUCGGACCUACCGCGAUUGGAUGCACCCAGGUGGGAUUAGCUAGUUGGUGAGGUAACGGCUCACCAAGGCGACGAUCUCUAGCUGGUCUGAGAGGAUGACCAGCCACACUGGAACUGAGACACGGUCCAGACUCCUACGGGAGGCAGCAGUGGGGAAUAUUGCACAAUGGGGGAAACCCUGAUGCAGCCAUGCCGCGUGUGUGAAGAAGGCCUUCGGGUUGUAAAGCACUUUCAGCGAGGAGGAAAGGUGGCUAGCUAAUACCUAGUUGCUGUGACGUUACUCGCAGAAGAAGCACCGGCUAACUCCGUG